AUGGCGAUCCAAGGUCCUUUCCUCUUUUGCCUCCUUGGCUUGGCCUGCUUGUCUGCUUACACUGAAGCUGCAAAACCAAGUCAUUCAAAACCAUUUAAUAGGACCUGUUUUCCUAAUGGUUUUAUAUUUGGAGUUGGUUCAGCUGCUUACCAGUCUGAAGGCGCAGCACGUAUUGAUGAUAGGGGCCCUAGUAUAUGGGAUACUUUCACUCGGGAACAUCCUGAAAAAAUUGCGGAUGGUAGCAAUGGAGAUGUAGCUGAUGACUUUUAUCAUCGUUAUAAGGGGGACAUAAAACUGAUGAAAAAAAUUGGAUUGGACUCUUUCAGAUUCUCUAUUUCAUGGUCAAGAAUAUUACCUAAGGGAAAAAUAAGCAGGGGAGUGAACCCACAAGGUGUUAAAUUCUACAACAACCUCAUCAACGAGCUCCUGUUGAAUGGUAAAAUUAUACUUCAUUUUAUUUUUAGCUAUAAUUUGUAUCAAGCACUUGAAGAUGAGUAUGGUGGAUUUUUAAGCCCCAAAAUAGUGAAAGAUUAUCUAGAUUACGUGGACUUUUGCUUCAAAACAUUUGGGGAACAAGUUAAGCUUUGGGUCACAAUGAACGAACCAAAUGGGAUAUGCAUCAAUGGGUACACCUUAGGUACUAUUGCACCAGGACGAUGUUCUAAUUAUGUUGGAAACUGUACUGCCGGUAACUCUGCCACCGAGCCCUAUAUUGUUGCCCACAACUUACUUCUUGCUCAUGGAGGUGCUGUGAAGUUGUACAAGGACAAGUACCAGCCAUAUCAACAUGGGAAAAUUGGGAUUACAAUAGUGGCACAUUGGUUUGUACCAAAAUACCAAACUUCUGCCAACAGAAAGGCUACCUAUAGAGUUCUUGAUUUCUAUUUUGGCUGGUUUCUCCAUCCGGUCAUAUAUGGUGACUAUCCCAAAAGCAUGAAAUCUUUGGUGGGUAAUCGAUUGCCCAGAUUUACUGAAGCUCAAUCCAAUAAGUUACUAAAAGGCUCCCUCGAUUUUCUUGGUGUAAAUUACUACACUACAAAUUAUGUAGAAAGUGCUCCCUCUUCUAAUGGUGUUAAUGCUAGUAUUGUCUCUGAUAGACAAGCCACCCUCACGGCUGAUAAAAAUGGAACUCCUAUUGGUACACCGACAGCUUUGAACUGGCUAUUCAUCUAUCCUAAGGGACUUCGAGAGCUUUUGCUAUAUAUAAAGGAAAAUUACAACAAUCCAGUGAUAUACAUAACAGAGAACGGAAUGGCUGAUGCAAAUAAUAGAUCUUUGCCAAUUAAAGAUGCCCUCAAAGAUAGUCUGAGGAUAGGAUACCAUUAUGGACAUUAAUUAUCAUAUCUUUUAAAAGCUAUCAAGGAGGGCGUGAAUGUGAAGGGAUACUAUGUUUGGUCAUUCUUUGACGACUUUGAAUGGGAUGGUGGUUACACUUCUCGGUUUGGUCUUAUUUUUGUUGAUUUUAAUAACAAUAUGAGGAGAUAUCUCAAGUACUCUGCCUAUUUCUUCAAGUUGUUUCUCCUAAAAUAA
Molecule: RNA transcript, 1530 nt
Organism: Quercus lobata
Lineage: Eukaryota; Viridiplantae; Streptophyta; Magnoliopsida; Fagales; Fagaceae
Gene name: vicianin hydrolase-like
Exons: 12
Source: RefSeq, a predicted model, not a curated record